Molecule: ribosomal RNA, 301 nt
Filed under: uncultured bacterium
Lineage: Bacteria
Description: partial 16S ribosomal RNA
Rfam family: Bacterial small subunit ribosomal RNA
Source: RNAcentral
CAGUAGCCGCGGGAAUACGAAGGGUGCAAGCGUUACUCGGAAUUACUGGGCGUAAAGCGUGCGUAGGUGGUGGUUUAAGUCCGUUGUGAAAGCCCUGGGCUCAACCUGGGAAUUGCAGUGGAUACUGGAUCACUAGAGUGUGGUAGAGGAUAGUGGAAUUUCCGGUGUAGCAGUGAAAUGCGUAGAGAUCGGAAGGAACAUCUGUGGCGAAGGCGACUAUCUGGGCCAACACUGACACUGAGGCACGAAAGCGUGGGGAGCAAACAGGAUUAGAUACCCCGGUAGUCCCUGUCUCUUAUAC